This 384-nucleotide ribosomal RNA is filed under the name uncultured Peniculida. RNAcentral's name for it is "partial small subunit ribosomal RNA". It matches the Rfam family "Eukaryotic small subunit ribosomal RNA", at positions 30 to 432 of the family's 1831-position model. Lineage: Eukaryota; Ciliophora; Oligohymenophorea; Peniculida. The record is from RNAcentral.
GCUUGUCUCAAAGAUUAAGCCAUGCAUGUCUUAGUGUAAAUAACUCUUAUGAAACUGCGAAUGGCUCAUUAAAUCAGUUAUCAAAUACGUGAUGGUCGCCUACUACAUGGAUAACCGUAGUAAUUCUAGAGCUAAUACAUGCACAAAGGCCCACUCACGUGGGUUGUGAUUAUUAGAUGGAAACCAAUGCGGGGCAACCCGGAAUAUGGUGAAUCAUAAUAACUGUCGUAUCGAGCAAUCGAAGCGCCAUACAAGUUUCUGCCCUAUCAGCUUUGGAUGGUAGGGUAUUGGCCUACCAUGGCUUUAACGGGUAACGGAGAAUUAGGGUUCGAUUCCGGAGAGGGAGCCUGAGAAACGGCUACCACAUCCAAGGAAGGCAGCAGG